This 253-nucleotide ribosomal RNA is filed under the name uncultured bacterium. RNAcentral's name for it is "partial 16S ribosomal RNA". It matches the Rfam family "Bacterial small subunit ribosomal RNA", at positions 524 to 776 of the family's 1533-position model. The record is from RNAcentral.
UACGAAGGGGGCUAGCGUUGCUCGGAAUUACUGGGCGUAAAGGGCGCGUAGGCGGACAACUUAGUCAGAGGUGAAAGCCCAGGGCUCAACCUUGGAAUUGCCUUUGAUACUGGUUGUCUUGAGUUCGGGAGAGGUGAGUGGAAUGCCGAGUGUAGAGGUGAAAUUCGUAGAUAUUCGCAAGAACACCAGUGGCGAAGGCGGCUCACUGGCCCGAUACUGACGCUGAGGCACGAAAGCGUGGGGAGCAAACAGG